This is a long non-coding RNA of Physeter macrocephalus (sperm whale), 4595 nucleotides long. RefSeq lists it as uncharacterized. The transcript is spliced from 3 exons. NCBI's taxonomy places the organism in Eukaryota, Metazoa, Chordata, Mammalia, Artiodactyla, Physeteridae. The record is from RefSeq and is a predicted model, not a curated record.
AACAAUGUCCAGAGAAAAACCACUCAAAUCAACAGGAUGGAUAAACAGAUGGUGGAAUUCUAAACAGCAACGAAAGUGAAAGAACCACAGUCACAGGCAGCAACGGGGAGGGAACCUCAGGGACAUAAGAAUCCGCAGUGAAUAUUCCAUUUGUAAUCAAAAUCAGUCAUGGCUAAAUCAUGCUGUUCAGGGAUGCGCACACACACUGCUGGUCACACCACAAAGAAAGGCAAGAAAGAGAUUACCACCAAAUCCAGCAACGUGUGGGGAGCUGUGGGAGGGGAGAUCGGGACGGGAUGCUGGGGGCUUGAGGAGCUGGCAGUGUGCGUGUUCUGGGUUUCGGCUUUACGGUUAUUUAUUAGCUUUAUGCACUUUUCUGUUUGUGUGUCACAGAUCACAAUUUUAUGACAAAGCAACAAUAAAACUUUCUCCAGAGGGAUCUCAGGAGACAUUCUCAUGAAGAAUGAGAUAGAACCCCUUAUGCAUUCAACAGCGUGUAGCGGCAUCUUAGUGAGCACAGUAUGAUAAGCUGUAACAAAACCUAUGAGAGGUGCACAAAAUAUAGUGCAAAUUUCUUAGGAAGCUGGGUCAGCUCAUCCUGAAUCAUGACACAGCUUGACAUCACCCACAAAGAUCCAAAAUUUACAACAGCAACCUAGGGCACAGUAGAAGUACGCUGUAAAUGCUGCAAAUACAGCGCUAUGUUGUAAUUGGUCUCCUGGUCAGAGGACUUCUGCGGGGUCAGCAGAUGCAGGCUGCUGCCUGCAGGGUGCUAGAAGCACACAGAAGUGCCGGGAGCCAGGGAGACAGGGUGUGGAGAGGAGGAUGAGGGGCACAGCGGAGGACACCACGGAGGAGAGGAUACAGGAGGCAGAUCAGGGACCUAGCUCAGGGGAACAGGAGACUCGUCCAGCGCAGGAGUGAGGCCAAGGGGAGGGUCAAGGCGGGGUCAGGGGAUAAUAAGAUCAAGGGAGAGGCACCAGCAGCCCUGCAGCCAGCGGGCUCCUUCCAUCGUCUGACCGGCCAACCCCCCUGCAGCAGAAGGGCCUUCAAGGCCCCCCGGUGCAGCCCCCUGGCUCAGCUCAAGAUCUCUCACCAGGUGGCUUGGUCCCUGCCCACCCGUCACACUUCCUUCCCAGCAACACUAGGUGCCCCCUUCCCCUCAGCAGGGUCUUGUGCCCUCCGUGUUUCCGCCCUUGCAGAUCCUACUGCCUGGACGCCCUGCCCUCUGACCUCCUAGUACCGUCGUCAACCCGUCAGACACCACCCACCAUGAGAAGCCCCCGGCCACCGCCGUGGGGGCUCGUGCGUCCCCACCCACGGAACCUACCUACCAGUUUGCGGACAGACGCUGUGCCCCUGCCCCGCCCAUCCCCGGAGUGUGACUGGGAGCCUGCUUCUCCCUCCAGCGUGCGCCCAGCCCUUGGCAUACACUAACCACACCACAAACGCUUGACUGCCUGAAAUUGGAACACAGGAAAUCCUGGCCGUGCGUUUGGAGGUAGAAGUUGGCUUUCAGCAACGUGGAAAGGAAUAUAUUUGAGGGCUGUACGCCCCUCAGUUGCUCUAACCUAGUAAGGUUUCACGUCUGGGGCUGAGGAACAGGGGCCCAAGUGGCACCCUGCAUAAACAUGACCCAUAGCACCUGUCAGCUGUGCUGCAACCGUCCCCCUAGAGACAUACAGCAGAGGGUUUGCAGUGCGACUCUGCGGGGAGCCUCUCUGCGGCUCAGUUUCCUCAUCUGUUAAAAUGGGGACAGAAAGAGCCCCUGCGGAGUUAGGAGGUGGUAGGAUUUCAGUGAGUAGGCAAAGUGCUCAGAAGAGCGGCCAGCACUCUCAGUGUUGGUUGUCACGGCCACUGUUGUUUAUCUGCCCGCCUUCCUCAGGGGCCUGCUGUCCCCUGACGGGGCUGAGGGCCCUGUGAGCUGCCUGUCCGACAUGGAAGCAGCUCAGGACGUUUGGUGGCUGCAGGACUCUCCACUGACUGGGCUCCAGAUCACUCUCCACUGACAGAAACCUUGGGGUAUCUGAAGGCAGGGGGGUGAGGGGGUGGGGGGAGUCAAGCCCAAUCUGAUGUCAGCCGGCUAAUAACCUUCGUCCAAAACCAUUCAAGGCCAAGUAGAGUGGAUAUGUCCAUUCCAAUCUGGGUCCAGCUGUAUUGUGGUUGAUGGUAUUUUCCCAAGGCAGCCACAUCCCAUGACAAUGACACUCCUCUCAGAAGAUGGGGUCUUCUUCCCUCUUUUUGCAUCUGGGUGAACUGGGGUGACCAGAGCGGAAGUGAAGCUUGGUUACAUCUGAUGCUGGGGUUAGAAAAGGCCUCUCUCUUCUGGCUCAUCCUCUCUUGAGAUGCUUGCCCUUGGACCCAGCCACCGUGCGGUGAGGAAGCCCACGCUGGCCCACGUGGAGAGUCCACAUGGAGGCUCAUGUGGGGGAGGAACUGAGGCCCCCAGCUGACAUCAGCAUCAACUGCCAGACACAUAAGUAAACCAGACAUCCGAUGAUCCCUCCCCAAGCCUCAGGUCUCCAGCUGAGGUCCAGGGUAUCAUGGAGCAGGACCAAACUGUCCCCAACACGCCCUGUCCAGAUUCCUGAUGUGCAGUAUCCAUGAACAAAAUACAUGGCUGUUUUACACUAGUCUGGUUUUGGGGUAGUUACGUACACAGCUACAGUCAGUGGAAUGUACAUAAAACCACUUCCGGAGUUCCCAGGACACGACGUGAUCUCUCACACCUCCCCUUGGUGGCACAUCCGAUCUCUCUGCUAAACCCCAGAGGCAGACCCAGCUCAGAUGCCACCCCGUCCUUGGCGGCCUCUCCUGUCCCGUCGCCAUGCUCACAUCACACCCCACGAUCUCUCUGCUGAUCUGUCUGAUCCUUCCAGUACAAGAGGCGGCAUAAAGCAGCCAGAAAGCCACGGAUCCCGGAGCCAGACUGCUUGGCUGUGCAUCAUGGUUCCAACCGCUUAGGAGCUGUGUGGUCUCAGGCAAGAACCGAGGCCCACCCACAACAACCACCAAAGGGCUUGACGCUUCCAUACUCAAUCAACACGGAAGGAACGAACAGAUGGACACAGGCCACAGCUCCGGGAAGCUCCUAGAAGAUGUGCGCGAACUGAAAAGACAGCAAACGUCCAACGUGGAAAAGAUGGCAUCCAGGGAGCAGGUGAUUCAGGACAGGAGAGGCAACAGGAUUCCCGGGAUGACGGUGAAGGAAAGACGCAGGACAACAGCUGAGCAAUAAGAGGCCUCAAGGGCAACCAGUCCAGACGGGAGCAAGAAGGGCAGGGCUCCAGGAGGAUCACCACCAGGAACCCUAGAGCUAGGAGAUGAGCUGAUGUGUCUGGCGUCACUGACAGGAGGGCUUCUUUUUUCACUCGACUGAAGCAUUUGCGGAAUAAAGUAAUGAUAGAGACACAGAAAACAGAGCAAACCAAAAAGCAAGACAAGUAGUAACCAGAGGAAAAAUGAAGUCAAACAAGGAAAUGUCGUCUUGGGACACUGUAAGGCUCAGCUUUGAACAACAUUUACAGACAUGUAAUGAUGUACACGCUGAACACAGACUAAGAAAAAUCAUGAUAUGGUCACGUUAAAAAGAUGAAGGGGGCUUCCCUGGUGGCGCAGUGGUUGAGAGUCCGCCUGCCGAUGCAGGGGACACGGGUUCGUGCCCCGGUCUGGGAAGAUCCCACAUGCCGCGGAGCAACUGGGCCCGUGAGCUGUGGUCGCUGAGCCUGUGCGUCCGGAGCCUGUGCUCCGCAACGGGAGAGGCCACGGCAGUGAGAGGUCCGCGUACCGCAAAAAAAAAAAAAAAAAAAGGAUGAAGGAAAGAAAACGUGUGUGUGUGUGUGUGCGCGCGCGCGUGUGUGUGCGCGUGUAGUUGGAGGUAACAUACCUAAAUCGAGACCUUCCACAGCAGGAAGUCACUAUGUAACGCUACAUAAAAUUGAAAAAUCAAGAAACAACAGUAUAAGCAUAUUUUUAGGUUAUUCUAGAAAAAGAAACCAGUUUAAAGAGUUUACAGUAGGAUGACUUUGGGAGGGAGGAGGAGUUGGGGCAGUUCUGUGUUUCAAACAUGUGCAUGUAUUACCUUAAUAAAAAUAAAACUUUAGUUGUUUUAAUUUUGUUAAAAAGAAAAGCAAAUGUCUCUGUGAUGCCUGGCAGGGAGUCUGGCUCUGACCUGGCCUGCGGGACGGGCUGGCUCCAGGCCUCCAGCCCAGUCGAUUCCUAUCCCACCCGGGUGCUGGGACACUGAGGAGGAAGGGUGGGAGGGGGAAUGAACGAGGAGGGGGGGUUCUUUUUGAAUUGUAAGGGAUAAACCCCAUCACCAACUCUACAGGGGAAGCUCUUGCUGGCAGCUGCUGGCACCUGCAGAUAAGACCACAAAGGGGGAGGGUCCGAGACAGAGCAGAGGUGCACGAACUGGCCAGGCCAGGGCCAAGCCCACUGACUCAGACAUUGCAAGCUGGUGAACUCGGGGGCAGCCUGAACUUCACAGCAGCUGCUGUGCUGUUUGUAAACUCCCUCGGAGAGGCCAAGCGGAUAAUAGCGUUGCUAGGAGAUGUGCUUCGCAGGGCAGCAGGCUUCCCGGGAGGAUCUUUACG